CUCAUAUUGUCUUAGAGCAAGCUUCACUAUAUUCCAAGACUCCAACAACGAGUUAAUCAAGCCAAGAAUUUGCUCCUCUUUGUUGAGAAUGAUACCCUCAUCUCCAAGGUUAAAAAUCAUAUCCCACAUUAUCCAUAUAUGUUGAUUCAUUAUGCAUUUUACAUUCAUCUUAUAAGUCAUGAAGUCCAAUACUAUAAUCAUUAUCGCUAAGUUUCAAAACCAAAUUGGGUCUGAGCAUAUACUUUUACCUAUUAUUAAUAGGUCACACCAAUCGAUCAUUAUAGCAAUACGAGCAUAAAAUCAGAAAAUUUUUUAAAACAAAAAGCA
RNAcentral lists this long non-coding RNA (327 nucleotides) under Elaeis guineensis (African oil palm). RNAcentral describes it as "long non-coding RNA (EGUI_LNC024633)". Lineage: Eukaryota; Viridiplantae; Streptophyta; Magnoliopsida; Arecales; Arecaceae. The record is from RNAcentral.